This 241-nucleotide ribosomal RNA is filed under the name uncultured bacterium. RNAcentral describes it as "partial 16S ribosomal RNA". It matches the Rfam family "Bacterial small subunit ribosomal RNA", at positions 796 to 1041 of the family's 1533-position model. The record is from RNAcentral.
CGCACAGUAAACGAUGAAUACCAGCUGUUGGCGAUAGACAGUCAGCGGCGUAAGCGAAAGCGUUAAGUAUUCCACCUGGGGAGUACGCCGGCAACGGUGAAACUCAAAGGAAUUGACGGGGGCCCGCACAAGCGGAGGAACAUGUGGUUUAAUUCGAUGAUACGCGAGGAACCUUACCCGGGCUUGAAUUGCAACAGAAUAAUCGAGAGAUCGAUUAGCCGUAAGGCGGGUGUGAAGGUGC